UUAAGCGACUAAGCGUACACGGUGGAUGCCCUGGCAGUCAGAGGCGAUGAAGGACGUGCUAAUCUGCGAAAAGCGUCGGUAAGGUGAUAUGAACCGUUAUAACCGGCGAUGUCCGAAUGGGGAAACCCAGUGCAAUUCGUUGCACUAUCGUUAACUGAAUACAUAGGUUAACGAGGCGAACCGGGGGAACUGAAACAUCUAAGUACCCCGAGGAAAAGAAAUCAACCGAGAUUCCCCCAGUAGCGGCGAGCGAACGGGGAGCAGCCCAGAGUCUGAAUCAGCUUGUGUGUUAGUGGAACGGUCUGGAAAGUCCGACGGUACAGGGUGAUAGUCCCGUACACCAAAAUGCACAGGCUGUGAACUCGAAGAGUAGGGCGGGACACGUGGUAUCCUGUCUGAAUAUGGGGGGACCAUCCUCCAAGGCUAAAUACUCCUGACUGACCGAUAGUGAACCAGUACCGUGAGGGAAAGGCGAAAAGAACCCCGGCGAGGGGAGUGAAAAAGAACCUGAAACCGUGUACGUACAAGCAGUGGGAGCACCUUCGGGUGUGACUGCGUACCUUUUGUAUAAUGGGUCAGCGACUUAUAUUCUGUAGCAAGGUUAACCGUAUAGGGGAGCCGCAGGGAAACCGAGUCUUAACUGGGCGUUAAGUUGCAGGGUAUAGACCCGAAACCCGGUGAUCUAGCCAUGGGCAGGUUGAAGGUUGGGUAACACUAACUGGAGGACCGAACCGACUAAUGUUGAAAAAUUAGCGGAUGACUUGUGGCUGGGGGUGAAAGGCCAAUCAAACCGGGAGAUAGCUGGUUCUCCCCGAAAGCUAUUUAGGUAGCGCCUCGUGAACUCAUCUUCGGGGUAGAGCACUGUUUCGGCUAGGGGUCAUCCCGACUUACCAACCCGAUGCAAACUACGAAUACCGAAGAAUGUUAUCACGGGAGACACGGCGGGUGCUAACGUCCGUCGUGAAGAGGGAAACAACCCAGACCGCCAGCUAAGGUCCCAAAGUCAUGGUUAAGUGGGAAACGAUGUGGGAAGGCACAGACAGCCGAGGAUGUUGGCUUAGAAGCAGCCAUCAUUUAAAGCGUAAUAGCUCACUGGUCGAGUCGGCCUGCGCGGAAGAUGUAACGGGGCUAAACCAUGCACCGAAGCUGCGGCAGCGACACUAUGUGUUGUUGGGUAGGGGAGCGUUCUGUAAGCCUGCGAAGGUGUGCUGUGAGGCAUGCUGGAGGUAUCAGAAGUGCGAAUGCUGACAUAAGUAACGAUAAAGCGGGUGAAAAGCCCGCUCGCCGGAAGACCAAGGGUUCCUGUCCAACGUUAAUCGGGGCAGGGUGAGUCGACCCCUAAGGCGAGGCCGAAAGGCGUAGUCGAUGGGAAACAGGUUAAUAUUCCUGUACUUGGUGUUACUGCGAAGGGGGACGGAGAUGUUAGCCGGGCGACGGUUGUCCCGGUUUAAGCAUGUAGGCUGAUUGUCCAGGCAAAUCCGGAUAAUCAAGGCUGAGGUGUGAUGACGAGGCACUACGGUGCUGAAGUAACAAAUGCCCUGCUUCCAGGAAAAGCCUCUAAGCAUCAGGUAACAUUAAAUCGUACCCCAAACCGACACAGGUGGUCAGGUAGAGAAUACCAAGGCGCUUGAGAGAACUCGGGUGAAGGAACUAGGCAAAAUGGUGCCGUAACUUCGGGAGAAGGCACGCUGGUGUGUAGGUGAAGUCCCUGCGGAUGGAGCUGAGACCAGUCGAAGAUACCAGCUGGCUGCAACUGUUUAUUAAAAACACAGCACUGUGCAAACACGAAAGUGGACGUAUACGGUGUGACGCCUGCCCGGUGCCGGAAGGUUAAUUGAUGGGGUUAUCCGUAAGGAGAAGCUCUUGAUCGAAGCCCCGGUAAACGGCGGCCGUAACUAUAACGGUCCUAAGGUAGCGAAAUUCCUUGUCGGGUAAGUUCCGACCUGCACGAAUGGCGUAAUGAUGGCGGGCUGUCUCCACCCGAGACUCAGUGAAAUUGAACUCGCUGUGAAGAUGCAGUGUACCCGCGGCAAGACGGAAAGACCCCGUGAACCUUUACUAUAGCUUGACACUGAACAUUGAGCCUUGAUGUGUAGGAUAGGUGGGAGGCUUUGAAGCGUGGACGCCAGUCUGCGUGGAGCCAACCUUGAAAUACCACCCUUUAAUGUUUGAUGUUCUAACGUUGGCCCCUUACCGGGGUUGCGGACAGUGUCUGGUGGGUAGUUUGACUGGGGCGGUCUCCUCCCAAAGCGUAACGGAGGAGCACGAAGGUUAGCUAAUCCUGGUCGGACAUCAGGAGGUUAGUGCAAUGGCAUAAGCUAGCUUGACUGCGAGCGUGACGGCGCGAGCAGGUGCGAAAGCAGGUCAUAGUGAUCCGGUGGUUCUGAAUGGAAGGGCCAUCGCUCAACGGAUAAAAGGUACUCCGGGGAUAACAGGCUGAUACCGCCCAAGAGUUCAUAUCGACGGCGGUGUUUGGCACCUCGAUGUCGGCUCAUCACAUCCUGGGGCUGAAGUAGGUCCCAAGGGUAUGGCUGUUCGCCAUUUAAAGUGGUACGCGAGCUGGGUUUAGAACGUCGUGAGACAGUUCGGUCCCUAUCUGCCGUGGGCGCUGGAGAAUUGAGGGGGGCUGCUCCUAGUACGAGAGGACCGGAGUGGACGCAUCACUGGUGUUCGGGUUGUCAUGCCAAUGGCACUGCCCGGUAGCUAAAUGCGGAAGAGAUAAGUGCUGAAAGCAUCUAAGCACGAAACUUGCCCCGAGAUGAGUUCUCCCUGAGACUUUAAGUCUCCUGAAGGAACGUUGAAGACGACGACGUUGAUAGGCCGGGUGUGUAAGCGCAGCGAUGCGUUGAGCUAACCGGUACUAAUGAACCGUGAGGCUUAACCU
RNAcentral lists this ribosomal RNA (2884 nucleotides) under Klebsiella pneumoniae. Its description in RNAcentral is "23S ribosomal RNA". It matches the Rfam family "Bacterial large subunit ribosomal RNA". Lineage: Bacteria; Pseudomonadati; Pseudomonadota; Gammaproteobacteria; Enterobacterales; Enterobacteriaceae. The record is from RNAcentral.